UGCAGUCGAACGGAUCCUUCGGGAUUAGUGGCGGACGGGUGAGUAACACGUGGGAACGUGCCUUUUGGUUCGGAACAACUCAGGGAAACUUGAGCUAAUACCGAAUGUGCCCUUCGGGGGAAAGAUUUAUCGCCAUUAGAGCGGCCCGCGUCUGAUUAGCUUGUUGGUGAGGUAAAGGCUCACCAAGGCUACGAUCAGUAGCUGGUCUGAGAGGAUGAUCAGCCACAUUGGGACUGAGACACGGCCCAAACUCCUACGGGAGGCAGCAGUGGGGAAUCUUGCGCAAUGGGCGAAAGCCUGACGCAGCCAUGCCGCGUGAAUGAUGAAGGUCUUAGGAUUGUAAAAUUCUUUCACCGGGGACGAUAAUGACGGUACCCGGAGAAGAAGCCCCGGCUAACUUCGUGCCAGCAGCCGCGGUAAUACGAAGGGGGCUAGCGUUGCUCGGAAUUACUGGGCGUAAAGGGAGCGUAGGCGGAUAGUUUAGUCAGAGGUGAAAGCCCAGGGCUCAACCUUGGAAUUGCCUUUGAUACUGGCUAUCUUGAGUAUGGGAGAGGUUAGCGGAACUCCGAGUGUAGAGGUGAAAUUCGUAGAUAUUCGGAAGAACACCAGUGGCGAAGGCGGCUAACUGGCCCAUUACUGACGCUGAGGCUCGAAAGCGUGGGGAGCAAACAGGAUUAGAUACCCU
Molecule: ribosomal RNA, 685 nt
Filed under: uncultured bacterium
Lineage: Bacteria
Description: bacterial SSU rRNA
Rfam family: Bacterial small subunit ribosomal RNA
Source: RNAcentral